UACGUAGGGGGCAAGCGUUGUCCGGAUUUAUUGGGCGUAAAGAGCGUGUAGGCGGUUCGGUAGGUCCGUUGUGAAAACUCGAGCUCAACCUCGAGACGCCGAUGGAAACCCCCGAACUAGAGUCCGGAAGAGGAGAAUGGAAUUCCUGGUGUAGCGGUGAAAUGCGCAGAUAUCAGGAAGAACACCCGUGGCUAAGGCGGUUCUCUAGUACGGUACUGACGCUGAGACGCGAAAGCGUGGGGAGCGAACAGG
This 252-nucleotide ribosomal RNA is filed under the name uncultured bacterium. RNAcentral describes it as "partial 16S ribosomal RNA". It matches the Rfam family "Bacterial small subunit ribosomal RNA", at positions 524 to 776 of the family's 1533-position model. The record is from RNAcentral.